CCCUUAGAUGUUCUGGGCCGCACGCGCGCUACACUGAUGCAUUCAACGAGCCUAUCCUUGACCGACAGGUCCGGGUAAUCUUUGAAUCUGCAUCGUGACGGGGAUAGAUUAUUGCAAUUAUUAAUCUUCAACGAGGAAUUCCUAGUAAGCGCGAGUCAUCAGCUCGCGUUGAUUACGUCCCUGCCCUUUGUACACACCGCCCGUCGCUCCUACCGAUUGAAUGGUCCGGUGAAAUCUUCGGAUUGCUGACCAAGAUCCAGCAAUGGAGCUUGGUUGCGAGAAGUUGAUUAAACCUUAUUAUUUAGAGGAAGGAGAAGUCGUAACA
This 325-nucleotide ribosomal RNA is filed under the name uncultured eukaryote. Its description in RNAcentral is "partial 18S ribosomal RNA". It matches the Rfam family "Eukaryotic small subunit ribosomal RNA", at positions 1470 to 1796 of the family's 1831-position model. The record is from RNAcentral.